Long non-coding RNA from Cavia porcellus (domestic guinea pig), 2026 nucleotides. RefSeq lists it as uncharacterized. NCBI's taxonomy places the organism in Eukaryota, Metazoa, Chordata, Mammalia, Rodentia, Caviidae. The transcript is spliced from 2 exons. The record is from RefSeq and is a predicted model, not a curated record.
GUCUGGCUAGUUCCUGCUUUCUAGCAGAUUGGGCGCGUCUUCGUAGUAUCUACCUUGACUUCUACUUUAUGUGGAGCCCUGACGCCUCACUCAACGGCUGACCUAUGCUGUUUUAGGCCCAGCUCCACCUCGCUCCCGGCCUCAGUUUCACCAUUCGUUAUAUGGCGCUAUAGUGGAGUCGUUUCCUAUGUAUUCUUCCUUGGCUCCGGGCGGAGAGGGGGCGAUUUUGGAGGCCGAAGCCAGGAAGAGCAGAGCCUGAGUCGGGGCUCAGAGCACCACAAGUCCAAGACUGCUGGGAUACCCCAGCUGUCACAAGCCACUCUGAUUCCUCAGCUUGCAGCCACAUCGCUGACCUCUGCUUCAUCUCCUCACCUCCGUCUGUCACUGUGACUGUUUGUUUUUGGUUUUUUUGGUGCCGGGAAUUGAACUAAGGACCUUGCACUUGCCAGGCAGGCAUUUGUGCCGCUGAGCUAUAUCCCUGCCCGGGACUGUGACUCUGAUCCCUCUGAGCCUCUUGAAAGGGUCUUAAAAGACUUGGGCCUACCCGGAAAUCAGGCUGGUCUCCCAUCUCAGGGCCUGUAAUCAAGUUAACAAAAUCUGGGAAAUUAGAACAUGGGCAUCUGCUACAAUCUAUGUAAUUAUGUUUCUCAUUGUGUGAUACAAUGUGCCAUUGUAUGAUACAUUUCUUAUAUGUGAAUACAUAAAUAAUACACUGGUGGCCUUGAUGAACUCACCCAUGUACCUUGGAAAAGCCAUCAACCAGGGCUGGGGAUAUAGCUCAGUGGCACAGAGGCUGCCUGGCAAACACAAGAUUGUGAGUUCAUCCUUGAUAGAAACCAAAAAAAGCUGUCAACUUUACAAUGACUUGUAAAAAGUGUGACUGUAAAACUUCUCAUCUGCAGUGAGACAUUCAGAGCAAAAGGCAGUUCCAUUAAUAAUCACACAAGCCAGGCAUGGUAGCUCAUGUCUGCAAUCCCAGGCACUUGAGAGGCUGAGGCAGGAGGGUCAUAAGUUUGAGGCCAGCCUGGGCAAUUCAGCAAGAAAAAACAAAAGUGGCUUAGUGAUAGAACACUUACCUAUCAUGUGCAAUGCCCUGGGUUCAAUUCCUGACAUUGCCAAUAAACAGAGUCCUGUGAUGAGUGUGGUUGGAUAGACGUGGACAGAUCAAGAAGCCAAGGCUCAUGGGGUACGCUCCACAGGGGCUAGGGAUUACAGAGGUGCCGACCACCUUUGGGCCCUGGCAGAGAGGAGCUUGUACCUACAACCUAUGUGCGAAUCUAGUGGGGGCCCAAGGGUUACCCAUGGCUCAGCACAUGUGAACCCUUGGGGACCCGUGGAUUAUACCAGCGCCUGCACAAAGAUUUCAGGGCCUGUUCAGAAGCACUGAGCACAUAAGGGUGUAGAGGAAUAGACUGGCUCUCGGGGAACCCUGGAGGUGUGUGCAAGAGACUCCCACACCCCUGGGCCCUGGUGCUGACGGGGACACAAACCUUGCCCGAGGAGCCCAGAGUGGGUGAGCUUGGGGGAUGUGGACAAAGAGGUGAAUCUGGGCCAGCAAGUCCAAAAUCUUCCCUUCUUUGCCUCCACCUGGACAACAUGCCCCCAGUUUUCCUCUAAGUCCUCAGCAAGAUUGUACCCCCCCCUUCCAGCCUACCUCCACUGCACUGCACUGCCUCUGUCCCUCUCAGCAUCUCUCUCCUGCUGUGCCAUGUUCUUCUGCUCCCAUCUCUGCCCGGCUGUGACUGCCAGAUCUGCAUCCCAUUCCACAGUCUCCCUUUCUGUAUCCUAUUGUCUUUCAUAUUGCUCAAAUUAAUUAGAUUUUUUUUUUUUUUUUUUGGUCUUUUUGAGACAGAGUCUCACUAUGUGGUUCAGACUGGCCUGUGGUUAAGCUCCCUUUGUAGCCCAGGAUGGUCUCAAAUUCAUAGCAAUCCUCCUGCCUCAGCCUCCCAAGUGCUGGGAUUACAGGCAUGCACCUGGCUUAAAUUAUUUAGAAAUUUAUUAAGAUAUUAAAAACAUAUUACUUUUA